RNAcentral lists this ribosomal RNA (254 nucleotides) under uncultured bacterium. Its description in RNAcentral is "partial 16S ribosomal RNA". It matches the Rfam family "Bacterial small subunit ribosomal RNA", at positions 524 to 776 of the family's 1533-position model. RNAcentral also lists the same sequence under 2 other names. The record is from RNAcentral.
CACGUAGGGUGCGAGCGUUGUCCGGAAUUAUUGGGCGUAAAGAGCUCGUAGGCGGUGUGUCGCGUCGGCCGUGAAAACCUGCAGCUUAACUGUGGGCUUGCGGUCGAUACGGGCAUCACUGGAGUUCGGCAGGGGAGACUGGAAUUCCUGGUGUAGCGGUGAAAUGCGCAGAUAUCAGGAGGAACACCGGUGGCGAAGGCGGGUCUCUGGGCCGAUACUGACGCUGAGGAGCGAAAGCGUGGGGAGCGAACAGG